CCUGCCUUGACAACCGCCGUGUACUAACGAUAAUGGCUCAGGGAGCCUGGAUGGCUAGAGGGUGGCACGACCCCCCAGAGCCGAAACUUGGUCAAACUCGGUCAUUUAGAGGAAGUAAAGUCGUAACAAGGUUUCCGUAGGUGAACCUGCGGAAGGAUCAUUACCGAGUGAGGGCCCUUUGGGUCCAACCUCCCACCCGUGUUUAUUUUACCUUGUUGCUUCGGCGGGCCCGCCUUUACUGGCCGCCGGGGGGCUCACGCCCCCGGGCCCGCGCCCGCCGAAGACACCCCCGAACUCUGUCUGAAGAUUGAAGUCUGAGUGAAAAUAUAAAUUAUUUAAAACUUUCAACAACGGAUCUCUUGGUUCCGGCAUCGAUGAAGAACGCAGCGAAAUGCGAUACGUAAUGUGAAUUGCAAAUUCAGUGAAUCAUCGAGUCUUUGAACGCACAUUGCGCCCCCUGGUAUUCCGGGGGGCAUGCCUGUCCGAGCGUCAUUGCUGCCCUCAAGCCCGGCUUGUGUGUUGGGCCCCGUCCUCCGAUUCCGGGGGACGGGCCCGAAAGGCAGCGGCGGCACCGCGUCCGGUCCUCGAGCGUAUGGGGCUUUGUCACCCGCUCUGUAGGCCCGGCCGGCGCUUGCCGAUCAACCCAAAUUUUUAUCCAGGUUGACCUCGGAUCAGGUAG
This 679-nucleotide ribosomal RNA is filed under the name Penicillium viridicatum. Its description in RNAcentral is "eukaryotic LSU rRNA". The stretch from base 340 to 492 matches the Rfam family "5.8S ribosomal RNA". The record is from RNAcentral. Lineage: Eukaryota; Fungi; Ascomycota; Eurotiomycetes; Eurotiales; Aspergillaceae.